RNAcentral lists this ribosomal RNA (1492 nucleotides) under uncultured rumen bacterium. RNAcentral's name for it is "bacterial SSU rRNA". It matches the Rfam family "Bacterial small subunit ribosomal RNA". The record is from RNAcentral.
AGAGUUUGAUCAUGGCUCAGGAUGAACGCUAGCGGCAGGCUUAACACAUGCAAGUCGCGGGGCAGCGAGGGUAGCAAUACCUGUCGGCGACCGGCGGAAGGGUGCGUAACGCGUGAGCAACUUGCCCGUGGUUGGGGGAUAACCGGUGGAAACGCCGCCUAAUACCCCGUAACAAUCGGAAUCCCAUGUUUCUGAUUUGAUAGGUAGCAAUACUGUCCACGGAUAGGCUCGCGUCCGAUUAGCCAGUUGGCGGGGCAACGGCCCACCAAAGCUACGAUCGGUAGGGGAUCUGAGAGGAUGGCCCCCCACAUUGGGACUGAGACACGGCCCAAACUCCUACGGGAGGCAGCAGUGAGGAAUAUUGGUCAAUGGGCGGAAGCCUGAACCAGCCAUGCCGCGUGCGGGAUGUAGGUCCUAUGGAUUGUGAACCGCUUUUGCAGUGGAGCAAUAAGGAUGUCGUGACAUUCGAUGAGAGUACACUGCGAAUAAGCAUCGGCUAACUCCGUGCCAGCAGCCGCGGUAAUACGGAGGAUGCGAGCGUUAUCCGGAAUCAUUGGGUUUAAAGGGUGCGUAGGCGGCCUUUCAAGCCCGGGGUGAAAAUCUGGGGCCCAACCCCAGACCUGCCUCGGGAACUGGCUGGCUGGAGUACGCUUGCCGCGGGAGGAAUGAGUGGUGUAGCGGUGAAAUGCAUAGAUAUCACUCAGAACACCGAUUGCGAAGGCAUCCCGCGAAGGCGCAACUGACGCUGAGGCACGAAAGCGUGGGGAUCGAACAGGAUUAGAUACCCUGGUAGUCCACGCAGUAAACGAUGAUGGCUAGCCGUCGGCCCGUUAGAGUGGUCGGUGGCCGAGCGAAAGCGAUAAGCCAUCCACCUGGGGAGUACGGCCGCAAGGCUGAAACUCAAAGGAAUUGACGGGGGCCCGCACAAGCGGAGGAACAUGUGGUUUAAUUCGAUGAUACGCGAGGAACCUUACCCGGGCUCGAACGGCAGAGGAAGGAAUCAGAGAUGGUUUCGCCCUUCGGGGCUUCUGUCGAGGUGCUGCAUGGUUGUCGUCAGCUCGUGCCGUGAGGUGUCGGCUUAAGUGCCAUAACGAGCGCAACCCUUGCGUCCAGUUGCCAGCGGGUGAAGCCGGGGACUCUGGACGGACUGCCACCGCAAGGUGUGAGGAGGGGGGGGAUGACGUCAAAUCAGCACGGCCCUUACGUCCGGGGCGACACACGUGUUACAAUGGUGGCUACAGAGGGGUGCUACCCAGCGAUGGGGAGCUGAUCCGUUAAAAGCCGCCUCAGUUCGGAUCGGAGCCUGCAACUCGGCUCCGUGAAGCUGGAUUCGCUAGUAAUCGCGCAUCAGCCAUGGCGCGGUGAAUACGUUCCCGGGCCUUGUACACACCGCCCGUCAAGCCAUGGGAGUCUGGGGCGCCUGAAGUCCGUGACCGAAAGGAGCGGCCUAAGGCGAAACAGGUGACUGGGGCUAAGUCGUAACAAGGUAGCC